This 93-nucleotide microRNA precursor is filed under the name Canis lupus familiaris (dog). RNAcentral's name for it is "mir-8799 microRNA precursor family". It matches the Rfam family "mir-8799 microRNA precursor family". The record is from Rfam by way of RNAcentral. Lineage: Eukaryota; Metazoa; Chordata; Mammalia; Carnivora; Canidae.
GGGGGGAGGCCGGAUCCUGGGCUGUGUCCCCGGCGCCCUGGGCUCUGGGGCCUGCGCUGCUGGAUUUGCGCUCCCAGGGCCGCGCAGCCCCCU